This 424-nucleotide long non-coding RNA is filed under the name Setaria viridis. RNAcentral's name for it is "long non-coding RNA (SVIR_LNC007361)". Lineage: Eukaryota; Viridiplantae; Streptophyta; Magnoliopsida; Poales; Poaceae. The record is from RNAcentral.
GAUGGCAACACAUGUAUAUAGUACAUAUUAUUUAACUGUUCUCUUUUUGAAUAAAGUAGGAGCACUGCUAAUUCAUUUAAUGAGAUAGAAGUUCAUGCUUACAAUAAAUUCGACAUUACAUAGGAUAACUAGCUCUCUAGGCUUACACAUUAAUAAAAACUAACAUACACUAACUAAACUCGGAGUUACCGCACGCUCUUUGACGCAUCUUAACAUCAUCUUGUAUCAUGUCGAACACUGGCAUCGGCUGGAGAGAUUUUCCUUCAAACACUCGUCGGUUGCGCUUCUUCCAUAUGUUCUAUGCAGUGAGGAUUAGGUACGCGGCCACAGAUCGGCCUUGCUUCUUGUUGAAUGGCGCAAGUGAUCUCUUCCACCAUUGUUCCACUUCUACAUCAUCAUCUUCCGGUAUAUUGAUUAUCCCCCC